CAGAUCGGGAUCGGAAACUCUUCAGAUUGCCUCCUUCCAGCCAAGGCCUGUAUCUCCUUCCUGGAGCAUAGGCCAUCGACUACUGCCCUCCACCGUUGUCUGUUCUGUGCUACCAUCACAAGCUGCCCCCAUCCCAUUCCUGUCAGCUUGACUUCUGCAUCCAGAUCUCGGCGCCGGGUGUUCUGUGGCUGUCCCCCUUUUCUUUCUCCUUGCGGGUUCCAUGUCAGAGACUGUCUUGUGAUGUUGAAUCAUGGUUUUCUCAAGGUGUGGCCAAGCCAUCCCCAUUUCCUUCUCAGGAUCUCUUGUUCCAAAGGACGUUCCAACAUCCUCACUGCUGCUAAUAGAGUGCUGAGUAACUUCCCUGACAACUUAAUAAAUUACAAUAAAAUACAAGAUGUCUAUAAGAGAGCAGCUAUAUCUGCUGAUUGCUAAGGGGUGUGCUAACCAGUGGAUUCAGAGCAAAAUAUGCCUGAGAACAGACAAUUAUUUUAUUCUCCAUGUUAGAAUUUGGCUUUGAUUUCCCAGUUGUAAUCAUAAAUUGUAAAAUGGAUCCAGGAACAAGUUCUCUUAGGUUGAUAUGAUCCCAAAGUGCCCACUGACUCUCCUGUGGCGAUGUAAAACUGUGUUGCUUUCAUUUAAAUUAGAGCCACUCAUGGUCCCACCUCCACAGGUCAUGGUUGCCUGGCUAAAUAACACUGCUGUUUAAUUUCCCUUACAUAAUAUGAGUGUCCAUAUUAAUUAAGACUUAAGUUGUUUAAAGUUUUUAAGGACUUUGAGAAAGCUUCUAUUCUUUAAAAAAAGGGGGGGGGGGCACUUACAGCAAGACUGAGCAUUCAGGUAUUAGACACAGGCUCAGUUUGAAAAUUUGGCCCAAAAAUGCAUACAUUUUCACAUGAAGUGGUCUUUUCAGCUGAUAUUUUGAACAAUGUUUGUAACCAAACUAUUGACAAUAGCCACUAACUUGUGAAACAGGCGUGAGUCUUGUCGAGGUUUUUUUUUUGGGAAGCUUGGUAAUUUCACAUUAGGCAUACACACAGGUUCGAAGACUCGUUCUCGCCCCCUACAGUGCAAUUCGUCUAGGUAUACGUCCGCGCUAAACUAUCACGGUGAAAGUCAUCAUAGCUUGCGUAGUAUAGACCCAGCUCCCAACCCAACUUUGAGAAUAGAUUAACGGAUUAAUUAGGAUAUCCCUGAGUGUCUCCAAAUGAAGGUUUAGUCAGAUUUAAUUAACUUUUUGUUAACACAUUCUCUUUUUGUUGUCAUUAAAACAAGUUGUUUUAUGCAUCUAAUUCGCUAUGCAUUCUGGGAUUAGUAAUUCGUCAAAAUGAUGGCAUAUAUAGGAUAAGCUGUUUAAUUUCAUCAUGAGCUAUACUGAAAUCCACACACUUUAUCAACAGAAGUCAUUGCAGUUACAUGUCACAGGGGGCAGCAUGGAGCGAAGCAGACGGCUUGGGCCUUGAUCACACUGGGCAGCUGAAUGAGGAAGCCUGGCGUGGGAAGAAAUGGUUUUAUUAUGCUCUGAAAUAGCCACACUCACAGCAUAUGGAUUUGAGAUUAAUAUCUCUUUCCCAUGAAUGCCCACAGAGAACAAAGUAAAACCAGAUUUAACACAAAACAACAUCUUGUUCAUGUGGUAGGGAGUUUUCUGACAGUGAUUGAGGUCUGCUGUAUCUCCGAAUGAUUAGAUCUGAUGUAAAAUGUGUCUUUUCUUAGUGCUGGUUUCGUUAAUUGAUUUUCUUUUGUUUGAUGUCUUGGAGCAUAAACAAAUGCCAGUGGGACCAAAAUUAGGCCAUUACAUCUAAAAAGGAAAAUAUAAUCUGCAACAUCUAAUAAAAUAAAUAAAUAAAUAAAUAAAUAAAUAAAU
Molecule: long non-coding RNA, 1864 nt
Organism: Cyprinus carpio (common carp)
Lineage: Eukaryota; Metazoa; Chordata; Actinopteri; Cypriniformes; Cyprinidae
Source: Ensembl